Long non-coding RNA from Gymnogyps californianus (California condor), 1442 nucleotides. RefSeq lists it as uncharacterized. The record is from RefSeq and is a predicted model, not a curated record. The transcript is spliced from 2 exons. Lineage: Eukaryota; Metazoa; Chordata; Aves; Accipitriformes; Cathartidae.
CGACCACCUCUCGAGGAAGCCUGUUCUAGUGUUUGACCAUCCUCUCGGUAAAGAAAUGCUUCCUCAUGUUACGUCUGAGCCUCCCCUGGCGCAGCUUUGAACCAUUCCCACGCAUGACGCGUGGAUCCCAGGGAGUAGAGAGCAGCACCUCCCUCUCCACGUCCCCUCCUCAGGAAGCUGCAGAGAGCAAUGAGGUCGCCCCUCAGCCUCCUUUUCUCCAAACAAGACAAACCCAGAGUGCUCAGCCGCUCCUCAGAGGACAUGCCUUCCAGCUGUAGAUCUGCUCCGGAGAACUGGGAUUUUGAGGAAAUGACGUUCAAAGGACAUGCUAGACCUGGAAAAGGUGGGGGGUCCCCACUCCCAGGGACCUUGCUUUGUCCUCUCCUGCUAACUCCUGCUCUUAGGAGAAGAAAAGGUGAAUGUAGGUGAAGGGGAACAUUGCCUGGGUCCAGCCUGGAUUCCUUCUUCUCCAGCUACAUUGCUGGUUGGACCCUCUUAGUGCCAACUCGUCACCUUUGUGGUGGCAGCUGGGCACAGGCAACAGCAUUGGUGUCCCUGGUCUCCUCCAAUGCCAUGGGGUCUGGUCCUCGCAUCUCUGGAGAAUAGCCAAGGAGGCGGCCGAGUUGCGUGCCGACCAGCUGCCUGGUGCCCGGAGCCCCGGGUCCUGCGGAGAGAUCCCAGCCACGAGCACACACAUACCUGCAGAGUCCCAAAACCAAUCCUGAAACGUGAGGGGUCUCUUUGAAGCACAGAGCACCCUCCUUGUCAUGGGAAACACCCCAAAGGACUUGUCCCGUGUGGUGAGGAACACCUACCUCAACCAAGAAAAGGAAAUUGCUUUCUGAAAGCCAGCUUAGCCACCCUGAUGCAGGCAGGGUGAGACCGGAGGAAAGCUGGGUUUCUCAACAGAUGGGUGCCCUGGAUCCUCUUCACUGGAAUUUUGUGUUUUGGAGGGUGAGAAAAGGUUUAAUGGGUUCCUCUUUGCUGUGCCCCCCCCCAAAAAUAAUAAUAAAAAAACCCCAACUCUUUGGCAGCUGAGUUGCAUAAUUGCAGCGUUUUGGUAGGAAAUACAACAAUUUCAUGUAGGAUCGCACCAUGAAGACUCACAGGAGUUUACAUUCAGCGCUCUUCUUGUGCAAGAGGUAUCUCUGCGUUCUGGUGCCACUGCAGAGCCUGCGUGGACGGCGCGUCACAGCUGCGACCAAGCAAAGGCAUGGGGCCGGCAGUCGACCCGCUGCCGCAUCGGUCGGUGGCCGGGCAUGGAGGCCAGCGGGGAACUCACGAAGCCCACGGUCUCGUCAGCACCAAGGUGGGGCCUGUCCUGGCAGCAAAGGCAGAGCAGGGUGUUGAUCAGACCUACGUGAUCCUCCCUGUGCCCGGGGGAACAGGCUGCAGCGACGGGCAGUGGAGGCAACUCAAUAAACAGUUUUUUCUCAACGCUA